RNAcentral lists this long non-coding RNA (919 nucleotides) under Numida meleagris (helmeted guineafowl). RNAcentral describes it as "lncRNA (ENSNMEG00000020240.1)". Lineage: Eukaryota; Metazoa; Chordata; Aves; Galliformes; Numididae. The record is from RNAcentral.
CCGCACCGGGAGGAAGAAGAGGCCGGGCCGGGGAGCGGCGGCCGCAGCUGCAGGACACAAUUAAUUAUGCUAAUGGCGCGGGGAGCGGAUGUACUUUUUUCCCCCUUUAUUCCUCUCCCUUUUUUUGGCUGGUCGGUGCGGAGGGAGCCGCCCUGGGCUGGGAUCACAUGAUAUUGUCUUCGCGCCACUUUCGUAAAACCCUUUUUAUUCCAGGGCUCCGCUCGCUCCGAGGUACCGCCACACUGUGUUGAGAAGAGCUUUGCUGUGGGAGCAUCCCUCUGCUGAUGGGCCUUGAGUUGUGCAAAAGUGCUUACAGUGCAGGGCUGAGGUGCUGUUUGCUGUCAGGACCGUACGUGCUGUGCUCGCGUCCCACCCAAAGCCUGGGGUUACUGUGCUAGGGAAGUGCAGCUGUCGGUGCCACACAGAUGCCCACCGAGCUGCUGCAGGUCCCGACGAGGCUGGUUUAACCACCCCGAAGCACCAGCACCAAGCACCCUGGGCUCACUCUUUUUUGCUUUCUCCAGUUCCCUGGAGUCAUACUUCAACAACCCUUCUUCAUUAAAGUGGAAUUUUGACCUAAUUGCUUUAAUCCCCGAGUUUAUGGAGAAGCUUUGAGGUGCCCUAUGCCAGAGCUGCGUAACAGAGGAGUGGCGGUUAUUUCCCAUUGAACCAUGCCCACAAGGAGAGAUUUCAGCAUUUGAGAACUUCUCCUGGAGACAGCCAUGGCCCAGGCGUGGGUUUGAGUCUUCUGAGAAGGGCAGGGGGGGGUUGGGAGAUGCUCACCAGAAGCUUUGGCAGAGCCUUGCUGCCACGCGGCCAGGGACUGGCUCUGCGUGAGCCUGGCAGAGCGGCGCCUCUAAUAUACCUCUUCACAGACUUUUUGCAUGUAAUAUUGAGCAUUAAAAUAAUUUAAUCAGGC